CAUAGGGUAGUUUAAUUUAUGAUCUUAGCUUUGGGAGUUAGGGGUGGGAGUUAAAAUCUCCCCCCUCUGA
Molecule: transfer RNA, 70 nt
Filed under: Hoplunnis punctata
Lineage: Eukaryota; Metazoa; Chordata; Actinopteri; Anguilliformes; Nettastomatidae
Description: tRNA-Pro
Rfam family: tRNA
About the family: Transfer RNA (tRNA) molecules are approximately 80 nucleotides in length. Their secondary structure includes four short double-helical elements and three loops (D, anti-codon, and T loops).
Source: RNAcentral